RNAcentral lists this ribosomal RNA (250 nucleotides) under uncultured soil bacterium. RNAcentral describes it as "partial 16S ribosomal RNA". It matches the Rfam family "Bacterial small subunit ribosomal RNA", at positions 26 to 279 of the family's 1533-position model. The record is from RNAcentral.
AGGACGAACGCUGGCGGCGUGCUUAACACAUGCAAGUCGAGCGGUAAGGCCUUUCGGGGUACACGAGCGGCGAACGGGUGAGUAACACGUGGGUGAUCUGCCCUGCACUCUGGGAUAAGCCUGGGAAACUGGGUCUAAUACCGGAUAUGACCUGCUCUCGCAGUGGGGGUGGGUGGAAAGAUUUUAUCGGUGCAGGAUGGGCCCGCGGCCUAUCAGCUUGUUGGUGGGGUAAUGGCCUACAAGGCGACGA